CCCAGACUCCUACGGGAGGCAGCAGUGGGGAAUAUUGCACAAUGGGGGAAACCCUGAUGCAGCGACGCCGCGUGAGCGAGGAAGUAUUUCGGUAUGUAAAGCUCUGUCAGCAGGGAAGAAGAAUGACGGUACCUGAAGAAGAAGCACCGGCUAAAUACGUGCCAGCAGCCGCGGUAAUACGUAUGGUGCAAGCGUUAUCCGGAUUUACUGGGUGUAAAGGGAGCGCAGGCGGUUCUGCAAGUCUGAUGUGAAAGCCCGGGGCUCAACCGCGGGACUGCAUUGGAAACUGCGGGACUGGAGUGUCGGAGGGGUAAGCGGAAUUCCUGGUGUAGCGGUGAAAUGCGUAGAUAUCAGGAGGAACACCGGUGGCGAAGGCGGCUUACUGGACGAUGACUGACGCUGAGGCUCGAAAGCGUGGGGAGCAAACAGGAUUAGAUACCCUGGUA
This 446-nucleotide ribosomal RNA is filed under the name uncultured bacterium. RNAcentral describes it as "partial 16S ribosomal RNA". It matches the Rfam family "Bacterial small subunit ribosomal RNA", at positions 330 to 792 of the family's 1533-position model. The record is from RNAcentral.